RNAcentral lists this long non-coding RNA (201 nucleotides) under Lathyrus oleraceus (garden pea). RNAcentral describes it as "Pisum sativum (pea) long non-coding RNA (PSAT_LNC029477)". The record is from RNAcentral. Lineage: Eukaryota; Viridiplantae; Streptophyta; Magnoliopsida; Fabales; Fabaceae.
AAAAACAAAAUCCCCAGCAAUAAGCAGCAGAUCCCCAGUUGAAGUUACUCUUGGAUCCCCACAGUGUGCAAAUUUCUACAGUUCUUCGGUAUUCAAUCCCUGUUUACCCUGAAAGUCUGACAGCUGUUGCUCUCAUCCGUUCGGGUUCCCAGUUGAUUGAAUAGGGGCAGCUGUAGCACCUCAAAUUUGCACCUCCCAUUU